Molecule: long non-coding RNA, 961 nt
Filed under: Astyanax mexicanus (Mexican tetra)
Lineage: Eukaryota; Metazoa; Chordata; Actinopteri; Characiformes; Acestrorhamphidae
Description: lncRNA (ENSAMXG00005019299.1)
Source: RNAcentral
GCAGUCUUUAGUGUGUGUGUAAUGUAGAAUGGAAGUAGUGCAGUUGAACAAUAGACAGUGAACACCAGUUGAUGUGCAUAAAGUGAGGCUAACUGAUGUCAGCCAUACAGAAAGUGCAAAUACACAGUUAUAUAAUUAUUUAAAUUCAGCAGUGCAAAAAAUAUGUAAACAGUAGAUGGAUGAACCAGUGAAUGAACUACUAGUGCAAAAUAGGGUACAACUAUAAAAAUAGUGUUAUAGGCAUCAGCAAGUCUGAGAGUAGCUGAGGGUGUGUCCAUGGUGUGGCCAGAGUUGCCAGGGUGAAAAAGUGUCACAGAGUCUUUAGUUUGCUGUGCUGAGAGGAGUUGAAAAGUCUUAUGGCCUGAGGAACAAAAGACAAGGAUGUGCUCAGGCAGCCUCACAUCCUGUCGGUCUGCACAGGACAAGAAAAACCCUCCUGAUUCUGAGAACAUGCUGCUUGUUCCUGUUUAAAUGCUGGGUGAAGUUGGUUGGCAUUUUUCCUUCUUUAGGUAAACGUUGCAUGAAUAGUACACUGAGUUACUAUCUGCCCAUUCAGACAAAGUCGCAUUGCACCAAAUUGGAAAGGAUUGGCCAGAGAAUCCACUGUAGAUCCUGCUAUCUGAAGACCCUGAAGUCUAAGGAGGUUCAGUGAAAUUGAUCCAUGUCAGCUUCAUUCAUGCCUGUUAUACUGUAGCCCUGUGAGAGAGACACAGAAACAAGAAAUAACAUUAGCCUUAGUACAAGGUAAAUCUGCCUGUAAAAGCAGUGCUUUCAAAAACAUGAAAAACUGCAUGAAUGAAUGUCUGAUUAAAUAUCCUUAAAAUGUAUCAAUAUACUUAAAAGUACUAUUGAUUUGUUACAGUUUUUGAACAAUAUCCUUCUGUUCAUUGUGAUGUUAUGCAGCAUUGUUUGACCUUAUGUAAAUAAUGAAUUAAAGAUAAUAAAAUAAAACAUAAAAACA